Molecule: ribosomal RNA, 404 nt
Filed under: uncultured bacterium
Lineage: Bacteria
Description: bacterial SSU rRNA
Rfam family: Bacterial small subunit ribosomal RNA
Source: RNAcentral
UGGGGAAUAUUGGGCAAUGGGCGCAAGCCUGACCCAGCAACGCCGCGUGAAGGAAGAGGGCUUUCGGGUUGUAAACUUCUUUUAUGUGGGACGAAACAAAUGACGGUACCACAUGAAUAAGCCACGGCUAACUACGUGCCAGCAGCCGCGGUAAUACGUAGGAUGCAAGCGUUAUCCGGAUUUAUUGGGUUUAAAGGGUGCGUAGGCGGUUUGGUCAGUCAUCUGUCAAAUACCGGGGCUCAACCCCGGGCAGCGGAUGAAACUGCCAGACUUGAGUACAGUAGAGGUAGGCGGAAUGCGCGAUGUAGCGGUGAAAUGCAUAGAUAUCGCGCAGAACCCCGAUAGCGGAAGCAGCUUACCAUAGUGUUACUGACGCUGAAGCACGAAAGCGUGGGGAUCAAACA